UACGUAGGGGGCGAGCGUUGUCCGGAAUCAUUGGGCGUAAAGAGCGUGUAGGUGGGCCGGAAGGUCUGGUGUGAAAGCCCGGGGCUCAACCCCGGAGGGUCACCGGAAACCGACGGCCUUGAGUCCGGAAGAGGAGAGUGGAAUUCCUGGUGUAGCGGUGGAAUGCGCAGAUAUCAGGAGGAACACCGAUGGCGAAGGCAGCUCUCUGGUACGUGACUGACACUGAGACGCGAAAGCGUGGGGAGCGAACAGG
This 253-nucleotide ribosomal RNA is filed under the name uncultured bacterium. Its description in RNAcentral is "partial 16S ribosomal RNA". It matches the Rfam family "Bacterial small subunit ribosomal RNA", at positions 524 to 776 of the family's 1533-position model. The record is from RNAcentral.